Molecule: ribosomal RNA, 460 nt
Filed under: uncultured bacterium
Lineage: Bacteria
Description: partial 16S ribosomal RNA
Rfam family: Bacterial small subunit ribosomal RNA
Source: RNAcentral
CCUACGUGUGGCAGCAGUGAGGAAUAUUGGUCAAUGGGCGUAAGCCUGAACCAGCCAAGUCGCGUGAGGGAUGAAGGUUCUAUGGUUUGUAAACCUCUUUUAUAAGGGAAUAAAGUGCGGGACGUGUCCCGUUUUGUAUGUACCUUAUGAAUAAGGCUCGGCUAACUCCGUGUCAGCAGCCGCGGUAAUCCGGAGGCACCGAGCGUUAUCCGGAUUUAUUGGGUUUAAAGGGUGCGUAGGCGGCCUUUUAAGUCAGUGGUGAAAGUUGGUGGCUCAACCAUAGAAUUGCCGUUGAAACUGGGAGGCUUGAGUAAGUUUGAGGCAGGCGGAAUGCGUGGUGUAGCGGUGAAAUGCUUAGAUAUCACGCAGAACCCCGAUGGCGAAGGCAGCCUGCCAAGCCAUAACUGACGCUGAUGCACGAAAGCGUGGGGAGCAAACAGGAUUAGAUACCCGAGUAGUC